This 553-nucleotide ribosomal RNA is filed under the name Sciurus gilvigularis (yellow-throated squirrel). RNAcentral describes it as "partial 16S ribosomal RNA". It matches the Rfam family "Bacterial large subunit ribosomal RNA", at positions 1810 to 2592 of the family's 2925-position model. The record is from RNAcentral. Lineage: Eukaryota; Metazoa; Chordata; Mammalia; Rodentia; Sciuridae.
AAACCAUCACCUCUAGCAUUACUAGUAUUAGAGGCACUGCCUGCCCAGUGACAUACGUUUAACGGCCGCGGUAUCCUGACCGUGCAAAGGUAGCAUAAUCAUUUGUUCCUUAAAUAGGGACUUGUAUGAAUGGCUUCACGAGGGUUUGACUGUCUCUUACUUUUAAUCAGUGAACUUGACCUUCCCGUGAAGAGGCGGGAAUAAUACAAUAAGACGAGAAGACCCUAUGGAGCUUAAAUCUACCUAGCUUAAGCAUUAUCAUUUCUUCCCUAAGGGGGUUAAUAAAUCUGCCUUAUUAAGCUUAAGAUUUUGGUUGGGGUGACCUCGGAGUAUAAAACAACCUCCGAAUGAUUUUAGCCUUGACUUGACCAGUCUAAGCAUCUAUUCAUCAAUUGACCCAAACUUAUUGAUCAACGGAACAAGUUACCCUAGGGAUAACAGCGCAAUCCUACCCAAGAGUCCAUAUCGACAGUAGGGUUUACGACCUCGAUGUUGGAUCAGGACAUCCAAGUGGUGUAACCGCUACUAAUGGUUCGUUUGUUCAACGAUUAAA